This 1275-nucleotide long non-coding RNA is filed under the name Brassica napus (rape). Its description in RNAcentral is "long non-coding RNA (BNAP_LNC004670)". Lineage: Eukaryota; Viridiplantae; Streptophyta; Magnoliopsida; Brassicales; Brassicaceae. The record is from RNAcentral.
AAACAACAGACCAAAUCUACCGGUCAAUUCAGCUUUACAUAGUUAUUACAAAUCUUCAACAUAUCCAUCGAUAUAACAUCUAUUCAGAGGGAGAGAGAGGGGCAUUAAAAAUGUUCUUAAUCAAAAACAAAAACAAGGAAAGACAUUGAACAUCAAUGUUCAGAAAAGUGUAGCAUGUGUGUUUGAGUUUUUGCAACUGUUUCCAGUUCAUAUCGGUAAGCUUCAUUCUUCGGCCAUUUUGUUCAUUAUUUUGGUUAUUGACGUAUAUAAUUGCGUGUGUUAGAUGUGUAUAUGCAUCGCUAUGUAUGUAUUCUAUGUCUUUAAUUAUCAGUUACAGUGUUCUAAUUCGUUGGAAUAUUGUUUCUUUUGAUUGUUUUAGUCACAAGUUACACACUUUCUUGACGAUUUUUCCUUUAACCUUAGUACAACGAUAGAUCUUAUCAAGUAUCCACCAUCCAGAUUAUUAAUGAGAUAUCCAACUAUAAAUUAAAAUUUCUUAAAAGACAUCUUCUGAGUUAUAUUCCAUAAGACGAUCAUUUUAUUUUAUUUGUCUAUAUAUGGUUGUGCCAAAGAAUUUCAGUUAUACAUUUAUUUAAUUUUGCUGCUGUGAUGUGAACCGAAGGGUCAAAGAGACUGUUCGGUCCGAGCAGAAUACGCGCAUGCAAAGAAAUUCGUUUAAAGUCAACGUAUGUAAACGUCUUUCAAUCUAACGGCUCUUAUUUGAAACGAUUAAUUCUCGGCAUUAUUAAACCUAUAUUAUAGUCUUAAGACUUUUAAUAUAGGUUUUUAAUUAAGCACACUGAUUGUUUGGCCCCAUCAUUGCUGUAAUUAACAACGUUAGUUUCUUGGAGUUUUUGUGUAGCAUAAAUGUGGAGCUUAAUGUGAAACACCCAUGGUGUUAUUUUCGUUUAACGGGAGAACGCACAUGCCAAUCACUAGCGAUUAUGAUGAAGUAAGUAAACACAAUACUGUGUCAAACGGUGGAUCUGUACGCAUGCAUAUACAUUAGGCAUGGGUAGUCAAGUCCAGUCGGUUCUUUUGAGUAUCGAAUUUUCCAGAUCUUGAAAUUAUGUCCAUCUGGGUAUUACAAAAUUUUGGAUAGUAUCCUCCUGGAUCUGGAUAAGUUUGAUUCUGAUGUAUAAAAACUUAAAUAUAAUUGAAUAGCCAAUGUAUCUAAACCCAAACUAACCAUAUUACCGAUAGAAUUCGAGUAGUUUGUAUUCAAACUAUCCAAAUGUAUCUAAAACUUAUUAAAAAUACUCAUUAAACAUGGGG